This 384-nucleotide ribosomal RNA is filed under the name Lactobacillus sp. DL3. RNAcentral's name for it is "bacterial SSU rRNA". It matches the Rfam family "Bacterial small subunit ribosomal RNA", at positions 542 to 922 of the family's 1533-position model. The record is from RNAcentral. Lineage: Bacteria; Bacillati; Bacillota; Bacilli; Lactobacillales; Lactobacillaceae.
UGUCCGGAUUUAUUGGGCGUAAAGCGAGCGCAGGCGGUUUUUUAAGUCUGAUGUGAAAGCCUUCGGCUCAACCGAAGAAGUGCAUCGGAAACUGGGCAAACUUGAGUGCAGAAGAGGACAGUGGAACUCCAUGUGUAGCGGUGAAAUGCGUAGAUAUAUGGAAGAACACCAGUGGCGAAGGCGGCUGUCUGGUCUGUAACUGACGCUGAGGCUCGAAAGUAUGGGUAGCAAACAGGAUUAGAUACCCUGGUAGUCCAUACCGUAAACGAUGAAUGCUAAGUGUUGGAGGGUUUCCNCCCUCCCAGUGCUGCAGCUAACGCAUUAAGCAUUCCGCCUGGGGAGUACGGCCGCAAGGCUGAAACUCAGAGGAAUUGACGGGGGCCC